GACGAACGCUGGCGGCGUGCCUAAUACAUGCAAGUAGAACGCUGAAGCUUGGUGCUUGCACCGAGCGGAUGAGUUGCGAACGGGUGAGUAACGCGUAGGUAACCUGCCUGGUAGCGGGGGAUAACUAUUGGAAACGAUAGCUAAUACCGCAUAAUAGUAGAUGUUGCAUGACAUUUGCUUAAAAGGUGCAAUUGCAUCACUACCAGAUGGACCUGCGUUGUAUUAGCUAGUUGGUGAGGUAACGGCUCACCAAGGCAACGAUACAUAGCCGACCUGAGAGGGUGAUCGGCCACACUGGGACUGAGACACGGCCCAGACUCCUACGGGAGGCAGCAGUAGGGAAUCUUCGGCAAUAGACGGAAGUCUGACCGAGCAACGCCGCGUGAGUGAAGAAGGUUUUCGGAUCGUAAAGCUCUGUUGUAAGAGAAGAACGAGUGUGAGAGUGGAAAGUUCACACUGUGACGGUAUCUGACCAGAAAGGGACGGCUAACUACGUG
RNAcentral lists this ribosomal RNA (497 nucleotides) under uncultured bacterium. RNAcentral describes it as "partial 16S ribosomal RNA". It matches the Rfam family "Bacterial small subunit ribosomal RNA", at positions 28 to 507 of the family's 1533-position model. The record is from RNAcentral.